CACUCAGACGUCAAGCUGAAUCGACCCGCGGUGGUCGCGCGUAAUAAAAAUAUUAGGAGAUCGUAGGUAUUGAACAAACAAAAAAUGUAAAUCGAAUAAACAACAUGAUUUUGGACGUUUCUUCAAAGUAACCCGUGAUGUUUUUGGUCACAUAACCAUUUAGAUUUAAUUCGCCGCGGUGAAUCUUAAAAUGGGCGACGUUCUGAGUUUAUUUUCUGUGAUAAUAAUGAAAUUUAAAGCUAAGUUCAAUGAAAGUAAGAUUUAUUUUCAUUGGGAUAUUCCAUGGGAGAAAAUGAAGAAAGUAAAAUGGAUGAACGAACGAGCAUCGCCGGAUAGAGCCUACGUUCCCACGCUGGUAGAGAACGUAGCGAACGUAUGCACGCACGCGAUAUGCGUGGCGCCAGCGUCACUGGGCGCGCGCGAGCUUCUCACGCGCUCGCUCAACGCGCCCCAAGCUAUCGCAGCCGUAGUAUAUGGACUCGCGCUGUGUCUUCUAUUCGCGGUGUCGACUACCUUCCACUCGGUGUGCUGCUGCAGAUCUGAUACCAAAAUGAAGCACUGGCUGCACCGCUGCGACCGCGCCAUGAUCUACAUCUUCAUUGCCAGCUCCUACUUCCCCUGGCUGACCGUCGGCACGCUCUCCUGCUGGAUGCUCCGAGAGCUGCGCUGGGCCAUCUGGCUGCUAGCCGUCCUCGGCAUCACGUACCAGCAGAUCUUCCACGAGCGCUACAAGAUGCUGGAGCUGUUGUUGUACCUAGUCAUGGGACUCGGGCCCGCUGCGAUCAUUGUCACGUCUAAUCACCACUUCCCAGCGAUGUCGGACCUGAAGCUCGGCGGCAUGCUGUACCUCAUCGGCGUUUUCUUCUUCAAGUCCGACGGCCGUAUCCCGUUCGCCCACGCCAUCUGGCACAUCUUCGUCGCCCUGGCAGCCACGGUACAUUACUUGGCGAUACUUCGCCACCUCUUCCCAGAACUUAAACAAUGAAGACUGCCCUAUUAACCUAUUGAAUCUCGGAACGGUUCCCUUUAGGCUAUUUUUGAACGCCGUGGAUUAAAGCGCCAAUCGACGAGGUACAUCCAACGUCAAAGAGAUAGUCCGACCAAGCUAACUCUGCAUGGCAUUUGCAAUGACAAAGGUUAAUGUCAUUAUUAACAUCAGUUUUCUAUGAAUAUAUUAUGUCGGUGCAAAGUGAACGGUUACGGCUAAAGUGGCCAAACAUCCUUAUUUAUGUAGUAACACACCAUGUGUUUCGAUAUAUUUUGUUACUUUGGCCGUCACUAUCUGUUUGAUGGUAACUGUUCAAGGUGGAUAACGCAUGGUUCGACUUAGCGGUGUUUUUGCCAAUCGUGCGAUGUAUUCGUACGGGUUACUACAAAAUUUUAUAUCACUUGCCUGCUUUAAAGAGUAUGAAUUAUCCGCAUUAUUGAAGAUUUUAGCUGAUAGGCAGACCACACACGGUAAAAGGUUGCGCAAUUAAUUUUGCCAUAGGUAUUAGUACAAAUUUAAAACACAUACGAGAGGUGUCUGCCUAAAUUAUUGAGCCCACCAGCUGACAAGAAAUAUCCGUGUUGAAAAUAUUUUGCUCUAUCCCAGAUCAUAUAAUUAAUUAAUUUAUAUUAUAACGAUAAUUAUAAAAAAAAAAUAUUGUAUAACUUUGCACGAGCUUUUCAGGUUGUGUACGUAGAAACUUCCAUUCAAUCUUCAUAAAUUUAUUUGCAAUUUAUAUUGCUCUAUUCGCGGACACAAUCGGCGUCGCUGAUUGGCGUAAAAGGCAAAUUAUUGUCGGGACAAGCCUCGUUGAUUGGCGUAUAAUGCCGCCAUUGAGAUCAUUGUGCAGCUAUCUGCGGCUUUAGAGCACUGACUGUAGCAACUCGUAAAUAUGUAUGCAAUUGUGGACCUUACUCCAUUGAAAUAAGGAAACAUGCGUAUACAUAUUUAUGACUGUGGAUUAUCCUCUCUAUUAGGUGUAGCUAUGCCAAUGUUCGCUAUGAGUUGUACGCCUUCCUGCCUUCACAAUACCUCUUGUACUAAGAGCAUUCAUUGGUGGUCCUUAUGAGUCACACGAACUCGUCUCCAAAAAAGCCGCUCCCAUACAAUCGUAGUAACGCUCACAAUUUAAAAAGACAUGAUGUAAUAAGAUGAAACUUGGCAUGAGCGUUAAAGUAACAUAUGUCUAAUCUAUGUCUGGUACCAGUUUAUGUUUAGAAAAAUUGUAAACCAGAGAAAAUAGAACACAACUUUUGUAUGUAAAAUAUCUACUCGCAAUGAGAGCGUAACUUGGAUUGUAUGGGUGCGGCCUGCGGCUAUAUAGAUUCGUGUGACUUGUUAGGGUUCCGUACCCAAAGGGUAAAAACGGUACCCUAUUACUAAGACUCCGCUGUCCGUCUGUCUGUCACCAGGCUGUAUCUCAUGAGCCGUGAUUGUUAGACAGAUGAUGUAUUUCUGUUGCCGCUAUAACAACAAAUACUAAAAAGUACGGAACCCUCGGUGGGCGAGUUCAACUCGCACUUGUCCGGUUUUUUGUUUUUGUUCACGAAUUGUCAGUUAACAAUAUGUACGAUGGUACUCGUCUGUCAGCUCGUUCCUAUUAUUAUUUGACCCCUAAAUUCGUAGCAACUAUACGUAAUUGAAGAUCUUAAUAAUACUAGUCCAUAUACCGCAUCCAUAUAUAAAUUAAACUUUCGUUGUUACACAGUACUUUCCAGUUUGAUACCUUAUUUUGAUAAAAAGUAUUUUUACAAGCAUUAUAUUUUUAGGCAGUUUUUGUAAUUUUGACCGAGAAACGCCAAAAGUCCCCUCAACGAUCUCCACCAGGACUAGUCGCCUGCGAUCUUUACCAAGGUGCCUAGCCUCCGUAGCCGUCUCUCUCUAACACUCUCGCUUCCAUAUUAGUGCGAAAGAGACAGUUGCGUUUCGUUCGCUACGGAGCGUAAACGAUUGGCACGUUGGCUAGGCACCCUGAUCGUCGUUCUUGCCGAGGCCAAACUGGUAUGACACUAACACAUAGAUGUGGUGAUACACGUGCAAGUUGCGGAAAAUUCCAAAAAGUUUACGAAAAUUUCAGAAAAAAAACGAAACCAUUUUGGAAAUGGCAAAUUUCGAUUCCCAUACAAAAAUAUGAGAAGUAUCCGAAAUUUUACCAUAUGGGAAAUUUGCACUUUUGGAAAGAUUCCGUCGGCACAUCAAUGCAGAUUGCAGAUGUAGGCGGCCGAUCGUAAUAUAUCCGCCCGAUCGUAAAGUUCCCGAGUAAUGUUUUGAUGGUAUUAGUCACAUUAAACCAAUAUAUAGGUAGGUUAUUAGAUUCGUUAGGUUGCUUCAGAUGCCCGAAGGGACGGAACGAGACAAUGAAUUUAAAUGAUCUGGCGGACAUUCCGAUCGGCCGCCGACACAGACCAAAUCAGCUGUAGGCGUAUGACUCAUAGUAUUAUCACCGUCAACCGACGGCACAUUAGGCCAAAUAACUAAAAGCGAUCGAAUCGUCUGUAUAUUUUGUUAAAUAUUGUUAAACAUGUACUAUUGUUGUAGUAUUCGUAGAAUCUCUGAAUCUCGAGACCAAUCCCUUUUUAUAGAUGUAUUGGGGUUUUUUAGAAACGUUUAUACACCUUAUACCUACGAUCCAAUUUUUCAGUCUUUUUAUACCUCAUUGUGAAUCCCUUAGGUUCCUUAUACAUGUGUAGGGUAGGUCUAGCUGGAUGUCUGUGUAUGUAUCAAAUAUGUUAAAUAUGUACCUAAACCUAAUCUUAAGGAGUUCAAAUGUUAUGUUAUUUUAAUUAUUUUAUUGCUUGUAUUUUUAAGGAUUGCUCAAUAUUUUAAAUGAUUAUGAGGUGUUUAUAGUUCCCAAAUGUCUUAACGUUUAAAAUAACGACUUGCCUAUGGUUUAAAAACUAGGGAGCGUUCGGAUAUUAGUUUUAAUUGUUUUAGAACAGCAUAUAAUAACCCCUUCAGUAAGAUUCGCGUGCAAGAGAAUACCAAACUCUUUGUUAAUAAGAUGUUGAUAAGAAUGGUUGGUCUUCGCGCGAAAUGGCAUCCUAAAAUCAAUCAAAACAAGCAUGAAAAUUUACAUAGAACAGUUUUCAUAUAAUUAUUUAGUGUAUUUGGAAUCUGAACGCUUCCAGGGCUGCUACAAUCUGGAAAACCGCGAUCUGUUAUUUGGUGUUGUAUUGAAAGAUUAACGUAUUCCAAAAUGUUUUGUGUAAUUUCUUCCUAGCUGCGUAAAACUUUUUAAUGUUAAAUUGGGUAAUUAUGUACUGAAAUUUGGGAAUUUUAUGCGAUAGAUUAGAAAAACUACUUUUCCCCUCACUAGCUCGGAAAGCCGUCUUUUAUCAUUUAAAACAAGCGGGAAAAACGCAUUUUAUCCACUAGUGGGGAAAGUAAUUUGACCUUGGAUGGAGCGUGUUUAAGUAGCUUGACAGAUAACAAAACGUAAAACGCUCAUAAUAAUGGUUCGUUCGAUAUUAAUUAUCAUUAAAUAAAUGGUUUGAGAAUCUAAUAAAAAAUACCAUUUAGCUUUAUUUAAUAAUUUUAAGUCAUAAACCUUAAAAUUCCAUAAUAAACGUUUGUUUAUUAAUAAUUAUGUUAAAUAUAAUUCUGAACGCACAAGUUAAGUCGAUGCAAUUUCAAAACGCAUCAUUGACAUUUCAUACGUCAGAAAUGUCAACAUUGUCAACAAAAAAUUUACUUAAAAACUUCUCACGUAAAAGUACAGAAUUUCCAGUUUUUUGUUAUAAUAUCGUAAAAAAAUGAGUGAUUCCAGUUGAUGAAGAUGAUCUAACGCCUGUGGAUGUUGCACUUUCCUCGCUAUAGUGAGGGGAAAAGUUUUGUGUUGCACACGGGUGCAAAUGUAUUUUACUUCUCGUGUGUUAAAACACUCGCGGGUAAAAUACAACUUUGCACCCUUGUAUAACACAAAACUUUUUCACAGUACGUAGGUAUGUUACAGACAGUGUUGGUAUGUUGAUUAACAUAAGUAUGCCCUCUAACACAAUGGGCUUCUCUACUGAGACAAGUGGAAAUCUUUUUCUUCCAAACAAUGGAUAAUAUUUAAUCUUUGACCUAAUAGCUUGUCCAUUUAUGUUGUGGAGUAGAAGCGAGCAUACGCAACUCACAAGUCAGGGGUAGAAAAACUUGCUGCUAAAGAAUUUACGUAAUAGAUACUAGGCAAUUUGUGUUUGUAUCCCAUAAAGCAGGGGUCGGCAACAGGCGGCCCGCGAACCUCUCCUUGCGGCCCGUGAGCCUCCCUGUGGCUAUUUUGUAUUUAAUUUUGACAAACGGCAAUACCUGAUAAAGUCAUAAAUAUUAGCAAAGUGCGGCCCGCGUCAAUUUCAUUAACUGCUAUGUGGCCCUUGGCUGCUAAAAGGUUGCCGACCCCUGCACUAAAGUACCUAACUAUAUUAGUUACAAAAUAGUUUAAUUGCGCAGCAUACUACCAAGUAAGGAAAUAAUGUUUUCGUUUGUUUUUUUUUUAUUGUUUUACUAUAAUUAACGACAGUCACGCGUUUUCCUGUGCAAGUAAAACCUUUUGAUUUAGUUAAACAGUAAAUAAUGCAAUUAAUAAACAGUCCGUCACUAACAUACAAUUAAAAUAGAGCGAUCUCAUAUUAACAUGUGUUCCCUUAACAAACCUAAACACUCAAUUACAGCGAUGUUUACUCAACUAAAUGGAAACAUGGGAUACGAUGAAAUCAUGUCACAUUAUAUUUCAAUACGUACCGUCAACAGGGGUGAGUAGGGACAAAACUUAGUGAUUUACCUAUUUCUUAAAAAAUACCUACACAAAUUGUAUCAUGCAAAACCUACGAUUAUUUUCAAUCGAAUAAUACAAUUGGUGUGGGUAUUGUUUAAGAAAUUAACAAGUAAAUCACAUUUUAAGUUUUGUCCCUAUUCACCCCAACCAUCCCUAUUCACCCCGGUUGACGGUACCUAUAUGUUUUGAUGUCAUUAAUUUACUGGAGUGACGGUUCUUACUUGCUACUGAUAAUAAAUUAAAAAAUCGACGCAAAAUUUCUAACGAUUUAAUAGCGGCAAUUCAUUUCGUUUGAGUUUGCGUAGUGUGGUACGUCACUUUCGUAAGUUUUCUAACACAAUGCAUUAUUGUUAAAGAAAUAAAUAAAAUAAAUGAAUGAAUGCCAUAAUAUUAAGGAAAGAUCCCGCUACCUGCAAACAUGCGAUCGUGGAGAGGUGUAAAACAAAAUGUUUCAUUUGGCUGAGUGUACAUCAAGAUAUAAUGUCAACAGUAAUAUCUAGUCAUAUUAUUAGCUGCAAUAAAUCGCAAAUGGAUUUAAACUGUGAUUUACUUGUAUGAAAUUUAUUUUGUAAUACAGGCAUAUUUUUAUUUUAUUUUCAUGUUACUUUACGUUAGAGUAAUUGGUAAUGUAAUGCAUGAAAAUGGCAAUUUUGAUAAAUCCGGCAGAGUAAUUUAUACCUAAAGUUAAAUUAUAAGUUUAGUGCGAUCAGCAUUAGAAGUGUUAGGAAAUAUUUACUCGAAUGUCUACCAAAGUGCGAUAGAGAUGUAAAUAAUACUAUAAUCAUAUUGAUUUCAAUUUACGUACGCUAUUGUUUGUUUUGGGCGAAAUGUCCCAGAAUUCUGUAUAACCGACGGCUAUAAUGUAUCUAUGCAUGGUGUUCCGGACAUUUAGUCCUUUUCGAUAGUUCUUUAAUAGUUCGAUGAAAUGUAAGGGGGAUGCUGUCCCUGCCCGCAGUGCGUAACUAGGGGAGGGCAGAUGGGGCAAAUGCCCCGGGCGCCAUCCAAGGCGGGGGCGCCAAAAUGGGCAAAAGGCAGCAGCAGGGAAACUUUUGUCAGUCGUCAGGGGCCGCAAAUUUGGUGACUGCCCCGGGCGCCAUAUCAUGGAACGCACACAGGGGCACAACAGGAUGAUAAAAUUAAUAAAACUAUUGAGAGUUAAUGUAUUUAUUUCUGCCAAUGCCUACAGAAAAUGUAGGUUAUUAGGGUCGUUGGAAUUCGAAAUUGUUAUGGAUUGUUAUAGGUACCGAGUGCAUUGUUAACAUAUUGUUAAUAAUCAGUCGACAUGUCUAAUAGGUACUAAUUGGAAUGUUAAUGCUAUUUAUAUUUUAUAUAAGUUUGCUAAAUUUAAAAAUAUAUAUUGCCGGCUAUUCAAUCAAGGUUGUAACAGGGUAAUUUGGUAUUAUAAUACGAAUAACUAUUAGAAGCACAAAAUUGGAUUUAAAAAAAAAGUUGAUUAUUGUACCACAUAUUGGUAUCGGUUUUACGGAGUCAAAUGUCCUAAAUUUAGUCGUGAAUUUAAUUAUUAAGUAGCAAUUUUUCAUUAUAUUAGAAAUUCUUCGUAAUUCUGUAGUGGUAGUGGGUAAAAUAAUAUGAAUUCCCUAGUUACAUCGAUCGUGAUUCGUGAUUAGAA
Molecule: RNA transcript, 7374 nt
Organism: Cydia strobilella
Lineage: Eukaryota; Metazoa; Arthropoda; Insecta; Lepidoptera; Tortricidae
Gene name: monocyte to macrophage differentiation factor
Exons: 5
Source: RefSeq, a predicted model, not a curated record